GAAUUUUGGGCAAUGGGCGAAAGCCUGACCCAGCAACGCCGCGUGAAGGAGGAAAUCCUUCGGGAUGUAAACUUCACAAGCAAGGGAAGAAAGUCUCUGAGCUAAUACCUGCGAGGUCUGACGGUACCUUGCGUAAGCCACGGCUAACUAUGUUCCAGCAGCCGCGGUAAUACGUGGGUGGCAAGCGUUGUUCGGAAUUACUGGGCGUAAAGGGCGCGUAGGCGGCUUGUUAAGUCGGCUGUGAAAGCCCGGGGCUCAACCCCGGAGAGUCGGCCGAUACUGGCGAGCUUGAGUACGGAAGAGGUAGCUGGAAUUCCUGGUGUAGCGGUGAAAUGCGUAGAUAUCAGGAGGAACACCGGAGGCGAAGGCGGGCUACUGGGCCGAUACUGACGCUGAGGCGCGAAAGCCAGGGGAGCGAACGGG
This 423-nucleotide ribosomal RNA is filed under the name uncultured bacterium. RNAcentral describes it as "bacterial SSU rRNA". It matches the Rfam family "Bacterial small subunit ribosomal RNA", at positions 359 to 776 of the family's 1533-position model. The record is from RNAcentral.